CCCUUAGAUGUUCUGGGCCGCACGCGCGCUACUCUGUUCGACGCAGCGAGUCUUAACCUUGACCGAAAGGUUUGGGUAAUCUUCAGCAAAGUCGAACGUGAUGGGGAUCGAUCAUUGCAAUUAUUGAUCGUGAACGAGGAAUUCCUAGUAAGUGCAAGUCAUCGGCUUGCGCUGAUUACGUCCCUGCCCUUUGUACACACCGCCCGUCGCUACUACCGAUUGAAUGGUUUAGUGAGAUCUCUGGAUUGACGCUGGCUAGGGGGCGACCCUUGGCCAGGCUGUCGAGAAACUGCUCAAACUUGAUCAUUUAGAGGAAGUAAAAGUCGUAACA
RNAcentral lists this ribosomal RNA (331 nucleotides) under uncultured eukaryote. Its description in RNAcentral is "partial 18S ribosomal RNA". It matches the Rfam family "Eukaryotic small subunit ribosomal RNA", at positions 1470 to 1796 of the family's 1831-position model. The record is from RNAcentral.